RNAcentral lists this long non-coding RNA (455 nucleotides) under Homo sapiens (human). RNAcentral's name for it is "non-protein coding lnc-TCIM-2:1". Lineage: Eukaryota; Metazoa; Chordata; Mammalia; Primates; Hominidae. The record is from RNAcentral.
GUUGAGCCCAAAUCUGCCAACAUGUGACUUCCAUCCUUUGAUCUCAUUUUCUGGGAGCAACACAAAAAAAAUGUGGCUUCCUUGAAAGUUCUUCAUGUAUUUAAAGAUCACUCUCAAGCCUGCAGUCAACCUGGAGUAGGCAGAUGAAGCAGCUGGGGAAAAGACCUCUUGACCUACCAACAAACAGUCACUGACACUGUCAAGUUCAGAGGUGGUGAGAGACACAGAUUGCAGGUAUCUUUGUAAGUUCCAAUUCGUCCCCCACACCAGGUUCAGCUUGUCUUUACUCUCCCCUGAGUCACUUCGAGUUUGGUUCUACUGAUCUACAGGAAGCUUCUUCCCACCACUGAAUUCAAGGGACAGUCUUCCCAUAUGUCUUUACCAGCUCUCGCAAAUGAAGACAGAGCCUGUCUAUGUCAUUCAGACUGGCCUCAAACUCCAGGGCUCAACAAAGC